This is a long non-coding RNA of Ictidomys tridecemlineatus (thirteen-lined ground squirrel), 1580 nucleotides long. RefSeq lists it as uncharacterized. The record is from RefSeq and is a predicted model, not a curated record. NCBI's taxonomy places the organism in Eukaryota, Metazoa, Chordata, Mammalia, Rodentia, Sciuridae.
AACCACUUUCCAGUCAGACAAGUUCAAAGAAGGAAUUCAUCGACUGGCUUCUUGGGCGCUCAGACAUCAUUUCCACUUCAGUCAGGAGAGAAGGCUCGGGAAGGAUUACUCACUGGGGAGCUUCUGCCUCUUCACAAACCAUCUGAUAUCACAGGACUGGAACUUCCCCCGGUGCUCCCACUCCACAGCACCACGAGUGCCAGGAAUAGAAGACUUCCCCUCCUUUUGGGCUCAGAGUGGACCCAAUUCUUGCUCCUACUGUGAAGGACCACGAGGCCAAGAACGGAUGCUCUGCUACCAACUCGCCUGCUGUGGGAGCUGUGACUGGAAUGUAUUAUCAGGACGGUCACAAGAAAACCCUUGUGUGAAUGGAGAGGCACAAAGCAAAGAGCCCACUCGUCAUGUGUACUACUUCCCCUGGGCUCUGUCAUCACUCAGCGGCAGCCACAUUACACACAGUUGCUCCUGUACCAACUCUCCCAGGGAACGCAGGCAUCGAUCUGUCUCCUUCUCCAGAUGUGUUAUCCAAGAAGUGACUUUCGUACAGAAGAUCAGGGUUGGGUACCUCGAGAGGGCCGGAGCCCAGUUGGAGCCUUUCUGAAAUAAAGACUUCCCUGGCAUCCCGGGAACACGAAAUAAACGGAGAAGCAGAAUAACUCUCCCCUCCCAAAGCCUGACUCCACCCUGGAAAUUCAGACUGCCACCCCGAGGUGAGGGGAUCGGGAAGGAGGUUCAGAAAGGGACAAGUGGGACACGUGUUACAUGCUUUGAAGAAAUUACUUUUAUGUUUGCACAGAUCGUUCUGAUGCGUGAACACAUCUGCAUUACUGGUCACAUGGGACAGUGGGGGGGGGCCAUUUCCGGACACCUAUCAUGAACAGGAGUGAUGUAAUAAAGAUGUGGAUAAUUCAAAGAAAGGAGAAAAAGUCACUUCACUUCUCUGCAACAGUCAGCUGAGAGCCAUGUUGGGCCCUGAUGGAUCCAAGACGUCUCCUUGGUGCUUUAUUUCCGGAUGCAGGUGCAGAUGUCAACUCCAAGCUUCCGUGUUCUCAUGGAAGAAGGAAAGGACCCUUGCCAGCAUGGAGGAAAAGGAGAAGCCAGGGCAGAUUCAGAAUGAGGAUGAGAACAGGCAGCCGCGUGGGAAGGGCUCGAGCUGCAGGCCUGGGCCUUUUCCUCCAGAACAAGAGCUAGGACAGAAAUAAACCCUUGAGGAGCCUGUGGCUGGUCCCGUUGGGGGAGGUGGCAGUGAGGUAUUUGCCCAGCAUGCAAAAUUUAAGGAGAUACCCAAAACUCAGAUACCCCAAAUAAAAUCUCUUUUUGGGUAAUAGUUUUACAAAAAUUAAUAUGGAUGCAAAAAUCAACCUUAAGCAAAAAAUCAGACUUUUAAGUAAAGACAUCUAAUCCUACAGAUAGGCACCUGAACCUAACUCACCCUAUGCUACCUCAACCCUGGGAUUUGCUGUCCAUCUUGGAUAAAUCUAAAGAUACUCUUUCAUUAGUUGGAAUGGAACCACCAUUUGACUCGAUUAUCCCACUCCUUGGCAUAUACCCAAAGGACUUAAAAUCAGCAUACUAUAGUG